Perca fluviatilis (European perch) is the source of this 142-nucleotide long non-coding RNA. RefSeq lists it as uncharacterized. The transcript is spliced from 3 exons. NCBI's taxonomy places the organism in Eukaryota, Metazoa, Chordata, Actinopteri, Perciformes, Percidae. The record is from RefSeq and is a predicted model, not a curated record.
UAGAGAGGGAAAGCUCUUCAGCCUUCAAGAAAGCACGUGGAGCAUCACUCAACAAAUCAGAUGCCUACAUAAUGAGAGAUAUUAGAGCAAUGGCCCCUCCAUAUGUCUGAGCACGUCCCUGGAUCGGAGAGAGAGAGAGAGG